GAAUCUGAUUGGCUAAGAGGCGUGCAAUAUUCUACUGAUAACGGCACAGUAACCGAUUCACCUUUCGUAUCAUUCCGCCACCUAGUGAAUGGAGGUCCUUUAAACAGGCUCAUCUCUGAAUGGAAAAACUGCACGGACACACAGAGACGCUCUGUUUUUAAACACUCUCCGUGUGUCUCAUUGGUUCACUAGCUCGUAAAUCAGUAUGUGAAUCCCAAUCGAAAGUUAUUAUUCCGUCAAAGAUCAGCCGUCUUGGAUGUUACGUUAAACUUAAUGGGAGUAAUGUCUUGUCACAUCGUGUGGACGAUUAACACUUGGAAAGAGGAAUGUAAACAAAGAACGCGAAAACACCGUGGAACUGCAGAUCCAGAUCUCAACGGUCAAGAGGUCGAGGGGUCCUGGCAGGGAUGUUUAGGAACGUUCUCCUCUAAAUACAGGAAGUAAAAAGCAGGGACAACAGGAAGUCGAGGGGCUACAAUAGAAAGAGUUCCACCUAACACAGGUCUUAAGAGAGAAACACACAACAAACAUCAACACAAACCUGACCUAAAAAACCAAAGCUAUACACUUCUUAUCUGUGCAUGAACCCUCUCAAAGUUGGAAGUGUGUUGGUCAAAGACCAACUGAAUACCAAAAUGGCAUUGGAUUAAAGUGAAAGUUGCAUAAUUGCCAAGUAUAGUAACCCAAUCCCAGCAAUUUAACCCAUCCCAGUAAACUAUCAAUGCAAUUCCUGUCUCAAGGGUGCCUUGCUCAAGUACACCUUAGUCGCUACGUGCCAACAAUGAGAAUCCAACCGACGACCUUUGCGUUACAAACCCGAGUCUCUAACAUCACUGAAGAUCUGUUGUAUGACCCUUCUUCUUAGCAGUCUGGAGAAACAUAAACCUGUGAAAGUGGACAGGACUAAACCUCCACCCUCAGACUGAGCCUGAGUACAUCAAACAUCUUCAGCCAUCUCCAGGAGGGAUCACAUCAAAGACCGACACAGGCUUCUGCAAUCAUCACUAGUACCUUGUAAGUGGGUGUGUGACACUUACCUUUCCCAGGUGGGAAAAAACAAUCCAUGUCAACGCUGCUACGGGAAUGAGACACGGAGAGGGUGCUGCUGGGAACCAGACCCUCUAGAGGGGGCGAGUGUUCGGUGGUCCGCACCAGACACCAGCCGGGCCGCUCUCCGGACCUUUCCAAAAGCUCAACGGUCUGACCCGAUUGAAUGCUCAGCUCGCCCACAGAACCUGCGACAAAGUCCUGCAGAACCACGGUCUGCUCACAACCACCCGACAACUAUGGAAAGAGAGAGAGAGAUGGAGAGAGCUUAACGUUUUAAACUAUAAUAAGACACUUAAAGCCAUUUGAUUAGAAAUAUGAUAAAACUAGUGUUUAUGGUUAACCUCCUAAGACCCGAGCUUUGGUUUUUCUUUGUUUCAGAUUUGCUUGCACUUUUAGCAUAGCUUAGCACAAUCCAUUGAAUCUGAUUAGACCAUUAGCAUCGCGCUAAAAAAUAACCAAAAAGUUUCAAUAUAUUUUCUAUUUAAAACUUGACUCUUCUGUAGUUACAUCGUGUACUUGUCAUGGUUCUGCCAUCUUGUCCUUUAUUUAAUCUAGUCUUGUGGCAGAAUCAUGACAGACCCAUGUUUUGUGUGGGUUCACGUGGUCUUAGUAUUGAUUUACUGGACCACGUGUUCCCAGUGUCUUGUCUCUUUUACCCCGCUCCCUUGUCAUCCUCCUCAUUAUUGUUUGAUUUAUAUCACCUGUUCCCCUCUUGAUUUGUUACCCUAUUUAAUCCUCUUGUAUUCAUUGUCCUGUGCUUGUGCAUUGUUUCUGUGUUCCUAAAACC
Paramisgurnus dabryanus is the source of this 1837-nucleotide long non-coding RNA. RefSeq lists it as uncharacterized. NCBI's taxonomy places the organism in Eukaryota, Metazoa, Chordata, Actinopteri, Cypriniformes, Cobitidae. The record is from RefSeq and is a predicted model, not a curated record.